CAACUUUCAGCAACGGAUCUCUUGGCUCUCGCAUCGAUGAAGAACGCAGCGAAAUGCGAUAAGUAAUGUGAAUUGCAGAAUUCAGUGAAUCAUCGAAUCUUUGAACGCACCUUGCGCCCUUUGGCUAUUCCGAAGGGCAUGCCUGUUUGAGCAUCAUAA
This 159-nucleotide ribosomal RNA is filed under the name uncultured Thelephoraceae. RNAcentral describes it as "5.8S ribosomal RNA". It matches the Rfam family "5.8S ribosomal RNA". From Rfam's summary of the family: 5.8S ribosomal RNA (5.8S rRNA) is a component of the large subunit of the eukaryotic ribosome. It is transcribed by RNA polymerase I as part of the 45S precursor that also contains 18S and 28S rRNA. The record is from RNAcentral. Lineage: Eukaryota; Fungi; Basidiomycota; Agaricomycetes; Thelephorales; Thelephoraceae.